GGUUAUGGCUCAGUGGUAGAGCGCUCGCCUUGUGCAUGCGAGACCCUGGGUUUGAGCCUCAGCACCA
This 67-nucleotide transfer RNA is filed under the name Marmota monax (woodchuck). RNAcentral describes it as "tRNA.Thr". The record is from RNAcentral. Lineage: Eukaryota; Metazoa; Chordata; Mammalia; Rodentia; Sciuridae.